RNAcentral lists this long non-coding RNA (1182 nucleotides) under Medicago truncatula (barrel medic). Its description in RNAcentral is "lncRNA gene493". The record is from RNAcentral. Lineage: Eukaryota; Viridiplantae; Streptophyta; Magnoliopsida; Fabales; Fabaceae.
GGUUCAAAUUUGAUCAAUUGUGUAGGUUAGUUCAUUGUGUUUGGCGUGAGAUAGCAGCAUCAAAGCUGUACCUGGACUUGCAAAAGCCAGUAGAAAAUAUGAUAUUGAACAAUUGAAUCAGAUGAGAGCAGCUUAGACGUUAAAAGUUUUAUUCCAUUAGGCCAAUUGGAGUAUUUGAUUUGUUAUGUUUGGCAUCUUGUAUUUUUAGUACUUCUUUGAUUGGGUGGCAUUUAGGAUAGGAAGGGGAAAGAGUUUCCUACCAUAGGAAAGUUGAUUUUAGCCAUUAGAUUAAAUCAAGUACAUACUAUUAUCAUACACUCUCAACACAAUAUAUUUUUCAUACAAUCUUCCUCCAGCUAGGUCCCACUGCUUCUUCCCUCUCUCCGCUACAAUCUCCUCUCUCAUGCUUUCUUUCCAUGGUCUUCGACCUGCAAGCUCACCGGCGCCGAUACCGGUUCCGGCGAUGGUGACGGUUUUGGAUUGAAACGGUUGAAAAACAACCACAUUCAUCAUCAACAUUUUUUUUUUAUUUCUACAAAAAAAAACCCAACAAAUUUGGGCUAUCAACAAAUUUCAGAUCUGAGUUUUUUAAACUAGCAAUUAUUCUAGGAAAGUUGUUUUAACAUUAUUGCGUUGAAAUGGGUGAAGUUACAAGCAUAAGAAAUUUCCAAGAGCAACCUCGUUCAAGAGCCAUUGCAAUUUGAAGUUCAUUGAAAACUGUCAUGGGCACCUUUGUUUGAAGCUAUAAAGAUUGUUUUUUCUAACUUUUUUUUAAAUUACAACUCAUGAAAUUGUUUUUAAUAAUUGGUUCCAUAAAAAAAACAUGCUUCCUAAUUGCAACACGUGAAGAAUUGGUUUGAAUCUUUAAUUUUAAAUUUUUGGGUAUUUUUUGAAAAACAACAUGGUGAAGAUGAAAAUGGAUUGUAGUUUCAUGGUGGAUGAGAUGCUAGUGUAUGGAGGAGAGAGAAGGAUGGUGAGGUGAGCGAGUGAAGUUGGAGACAGAUCGAGAAAAAAUAUAGUGUAUGUAGACCAUAGUAAGCUUAGUAUUCUUAUUUGAUCCUAUGAUCCAAAUCGAUUUUCCUAUGGUGGGAAACUCUUUCCCCUUCCCACCCUAAAUGCCACCCUUUGAUUGUUGUUAAAUCAUUCUUUAAUAUUAAAUUGUAAAAUUAAUAAUUAAUAUAG